UCUGGCCCUCCUUAUGUAAUAUACCCGGUUCUCCUUGCUCUAGUUGAUUCCAGGAAAAUCCUGCCAGCUCAGCAUCCACAGAGCCACGUGGCUCCCCUGUGAACUUGCUGGCUUCCUGUAGAAUGGCCCAAGGCCUGCAGGACAGCUGCCUCAAAUGCCACCCUGUCAUUGAACCAAAGACUGUUUAUGAAACUCUCCCAGCAUCUCUCUGCCCGGGGCAUUCGUGCCAGCCUUUGAGUGACCUGAAUACGAUUUUGCCCGUCUCCAGGCUCUCCUCCCUUCUCCUCUAACCCUUUUCUUUUUCUGGUAAACACACUCUUCAGAGCUCUGGGGUGCUGAGAUGAUUCCAUGCUCUUCCUUGGGUAUUUUUAGGCACUGAUGGAAUGACCCGCUCCCCUUUCCUGGCAUAUUUUGUUUUGUUUUUGAGUUUACAGAGGCACCUGCAGGCACUGUGUGACCCUUCUGUCUCACCUGUCAUGUGGCCUUAGUCCGUCAGCCCCAUUUUGGACGUGCUGCUGUCAGCCUGGGAGACCUAGAGUGGCAGCCCCUCCUGCAGCCCAGGCAGGUUAGCAUGGGCCCUGGGCUGUGGGCCCCAGGGGAGCUUGGCUCUGGCCGUGCCCAGCCCACAUCUCUCAGAACAGGAAAGGACAGCCGGAGUUCUGGAACUGUAGACUGAAAUACCAAAUCAGGGCACCUGAAAGGAACCUCAUCUUAUCAAAAAGGGAAGAAGAGUUCCAGAAGGAGAAGCUGAGUAACAUCCGGGGAAACGAAGGGUGCAGCCUUGACCCAGUCCUGGAAAAACCAAGCCCUGUCUGCAGGCGGAUGGAUGUUAACACUCUUGCCCUUGGAAAUUCCAGAACAACAGCUUAGGGCGGAGUGAACGUCAGCUGCGCAGUUUGGACCCUCAGAAACAGGCUUUCCUCCUCAGGCACUGUUGCGAUGCUCGUCAGCAGCCGGGGCUCCUUUGCUCUAUCUUCCUUCAUCUUCCUGCCUGUGAUUACGCACACUCAUGAGUGCCCCUCCGCUGCCAGAUG
Molecule: long non-coding RNA, 1034 nt
Organism: Manis javanica (Malayan pangolin)
Lineage: Eukaryota; Metazoa; Chordata; Mammalia; Pholidota; Manidae
Source: RefSeq, a predicted model, not a curated record